AGUGAACGCUGGCGGCAGGCCUUACACAUGCAAGUCGAACGGUAGCAGAGUUAGAGCUUCUUACUAGUGGCGGCGAGGGGAGGACGAGAGCGGAACAUACCGGAACCUACUGUAUAGCGGGGGAUAAGGUAUGGAAAUACCCGCUAAUACCUACUAAUAACAACGGGUGAUAGCAGGACAUCUCCGGGCCUUGGGCGCCUGUGGGAGACGAUGUCGGAUUAGCUAGUUGGCGGGAUAAAGGCCCACCAAGGCGACGAUCCGUAGCUGGUCUGAGAGGAUGAUCAGCCACACUGGGACUGAGACACGGUCCAGACUCCUACGGGAGGCAGCAGUGGGGAAUAUCGGACAAUGGGCGCAAGCCUGAUCCAGCCAUACCGCGUGGGUGAUGAAGGCCUUCGGGUUGUAAAGCCCUUUUGUUGGGAAAGAAAAGCAGCAGGUUAAUACCCCGCUGUUCUGACGGUACCCAAAGAAUAAGCACCGGCUAACUUCGUG
RNAcentral lists this ribosomal RNA (492 nucleotides) under uncultured bacterium. RNAcentral's name for it is "partial 16S ribosomal RNA". It matches the Rfam family "Bacterial small subunit ribosomal RNA", at positions 29 to 507 of the family's 1533-position model. The record is from RNAcentral.